UACCUACGGGGGGCAGCAGUGGGGAAUAUUGCACAAUGGGGGAAACCCUGAUGCAGCAACGCCGCGUGAGUGAAGAAGUCAUUCGUGAUGUAAAGCUCUAUCAGCAGGGAAGAAAAUGACGGUACCUGAGUAAGAAGCCCCGGCUAACUACGUGCCAGCAGCCGCGGUAAUACGUAGGGAGCAAGCGUUAUCCGGAUUUAUUGGGUGUAAAGGGUGCGUAGACGGGAAUUUAAGUUAGUUGUGAAAUCCCUCGGCUUAACUGAGGAACUGCAACUAAACCUGAAUUUCUUGAGUGCG
RNAcentral lists this ribosomal RNA (297 nucleotides) under uncultured bacterium. RNAcentral's name for it is "partial 16S ribosomal RNA". It matches the Rfam family "Bacterial small subunit ribosomal RNA", at positions 335 to 650 of the family's 1533-position model. The record is from RNAcentral.